Molecule: ribosomal RNA, 253 nt
Filed under: uncultured bacterium
Lineage: Bacteria
Description: partial 16S ribosomal RNA
Rfam family: Bacterial small subunit ribosomal RNA
Source: RNAcentral
UACGUAGGUGGCGAGCGUUGUCCGGAUUUACUGGGCGUAAAGGGAGCGUAGGCGGACUUUUAAGUGAGAUGUGAAAUACUCGGGCUCAACUUGAGUGCUGUAUUUCAAACUGGAAGUCUAGAGUGCAGGAGAGGAGAAUGGAAUUCCUAGUGUAGCGGUGAAAUGCGUAGAGAUUAGGAAGAACACCAGUGGCGAAGGCGAUUCUCUGGACUGUAACUGACGCUGAGGCUCGAAAGCGUGGGGAGCAAACAGG